Molecule: long non-coding RNA, 724 nt
Organism: Paramisgurnus dabryanus
Lineage: Eukaryota; Metazoa; Chordata; Actinopteri; Cypriniformes; Cobitidae
Source: RefSeq, a predicted model, not a curated record
UUAUAACAGUAGUUUUAAAUACUCAUUAUAAAACUAUUUUAUUUAAAAAUAUUUACAUUAUUAUUCUGAAUAAAUCCUUUGCCAAUUAUUUGUGGUGUGGCUUUGUUCAUUUUUAAUAACUUUAACAUUGAAGGAAUUAAACUUUCAGUUUCAUUUCUUAAAAAGAUCCACCCAGUAGAGCGUUAAAAUCUCAGCUGUCACGCAAAAGAAGCAUACUGCUUUUGUUCAGUUUGAAGAGAUGGCUCUUUUAGUUAUAUUGUUUGCAGUAGGAGUUUUACGAGCAGUUUUAGAAGCAGUCACAGGAUUUGUAGGACCUCCUGUUGAUCAGUUUUUUGGUGGUUUCAUUCUAUCUGGAAUAAUUGGAUGGUGUAUUUGCAUCCUUUAUGAUCAUGUGCAGCUAUUGCCAGUGGGGGGGUUGCAGUCAGAUUUCAGGUGCAGCAAGAAUCACGAUCAUUGGAAAUGCCCGUGUGGGUUAAAGGGCUAUCCUUAUUACAAUUGGAAGCAUCGUUAGCCUGUUGAUUUUGUAACCAAGGAUUUGAGCUUUAAAUUUGAGCUUCAUUAAAAAAAAUGGGUUCUUCAAUUGAGACAAAUAGUAAUAAUCACAUAGCUGUUUUUCUCAUCAUCUGCUAAAUAGUGGUUGUAGAUUUCCUAAUAACAUAUUUUCUGUGCUGCUGCUCUAUUACUUUGUUAUUUUCAACCCAACGUUGGGUCAAAAGGGACAAAC